GAUGAACGCUGGCGGCGUGCCUAAUACAUGCAAGUCGAGCGAACAGACGAGGAGCUUGCUCCUCUGACGUUAGCGGCGGACGGGUGAGUAACACGUGGAUAACCUACCUAUAAGACUGGGAUAACUUCGGGAAACCGGAGCUAAUACCGGAUAAUAUAUUGAACCGCAUGGUUCAAUAGUGAAAGACGGUUUUGCUGUCACUUAUAGAUGGAUCCGCGCCGCAUUAGCUAGUUGGUAAGGUAACGGCUUACCAAGGCAACGAUGCGUAGCCGACCUGAGAGGGUGAUCGGCGACACUGGAACUGAGACACGGUCCAGACUCCUACGGGAGGCAGCAGUAGGGAAUCUUCCGCAAUGGGCGAAAGCCUGACGGAGCAACGCCGCGUGAGUGAUGAAGGUCUCCGGAUCGUAAAACUCUGUUAUUAGGGAAGAACAAAUGUGUAAGUAACUAUGCACGUCUUGACGGUACCUAAUCAGAAAGCCACGGCUAACUACGUG
This 497-nucleotide ribosomal RNA is filed under the name uncultured bacterium. RNAcentral's name for it is "partial 16S ribosomal RNA". It matches the Rfam family "Bacterial small subunit ribosomal RNA", at positions 28 to 507 of the family's 1533-position model. The record is from RNAcentral.